UUUAGUGUCAAUAAGAACGACAAAGGCACCUGACCAAGCGUCCAUAUUUUACGAGAUGAGUGUGAGAACCUUUUGCGUAUAACCCCUCGCCACCCAGCGAGGGAAGACUUUAUCUGGAGGGGGCGUCAGGACCCAAAGCCUGGAAGGGGGGGAAGGAUGUUUGGGAUCCGGCUCGAAGGACCAAGUUGUUGAGAUAGUUAUUAAGAAUAGACAGAAUCACUGAAGUUCUUCUCAAAGUUUAAAUCGAAAAAAUGGACUGGAAUGUGAAGCAGGAUCGGCAAUUUCCCGUCAGUUUGUGGACCGCUGUUUCGAAGCCUUGAGUGUGUCGAUACGACCGUCGCCGUCUUGGUUUGUUGACGAGAGGGUGGAGCUGGGGAGCCUCUUCGCGGCAGGAAUAAGAGCUUUGAGACAGCCUUCAGGAAAGAAGGCCAGAACAACUUCCUGUUCAAGCGAGGAGAUAUCAGAUAAGAGACUUGGGGAGCAGCCAGGGUAACGUUAGUUUAGCGGUAGCCUGCAGCGGCUCAUUU
Molecule: long non-coding RNA, 527 nt
Organism: Sander lucioperca (pikeperch)
Lineage: Eukaryota; Metazoa; Chordata; Actinopteri; Perciformes; Percidae
Exons: 2
Source: RefSeq, a predicted model, not a curated record